RNAcentral lists this ribosomal RNA (532 nucleotides) under uncultured Entrophospora. Its description in RNAcentral is "SSU rRNA". It matches the Rfam family "Eukaryotic small subunit ribosomal RNA", at positions 569 to 1092 of the family's 1831-position model. Lineage: Eukaryota; Fungi; Glomeromycota; Glomeromycetes; Entrophosporales; Entrophosporaceae. The record is from RNAcentral.
AGCAGCCGCGGUAAUUCCAGCUCCAAUAGCGUAUAUUAAAGUUGUUGCAGUUAAAAAGCUCGUAGUUGAAUUUCGGGAUUGACACAUCGGUCGUGCCUUAAGGGGUAUGAACUGGUGUAGUCAAUUUCUCACCUUCUGGAGAACCGCGAUGCCCUUAAUUGGGUGUCACGGGGAACCAGGACCUUUACUUUGAAAAAAUUAGAGUGUUUAAAGCAGGCAUUUUGCUUGAAUACAUUAGCAUGGAAUAAUAAAAUAGGACGGCAUGAUUCUAUUUUUUUUGUUGGUUUAUAGGAUCACCGUAAUGAUUAAUAGGGAUAGUUGGGGGCAUUAGUAUUCAAUUGUCAGAGGUGAAAUUCUUGGAUUUAUUGAAGACUAACUACUGCGAAAGCAUUUGCCAAGGAUGUUUUCAUUAAUCAAGAACGAAAGUUAGGGGAUCGAAGACGAUCAGAUACCGUCGUAGUCUUAACCAUAAACUAUGCCGACUAGGAAUCAGACGAUGUUAAUUUUUUAAUGACUCGUUUGGCACCUUACG